Molecule: ribosomal RNA, 560 nt
Filed under: Streptococcus salivarius
Lineage: Bacteria; Bacillati; Bacillota; Bacilli; Lactobacillales; Streptococcaceae
Description: bacterial SSU rRNA
Rfam family: Bacterial small subunit ribosomal RNA
Source: RNAcentral
UCCCUUCUGGGGGGGGGGGGAGUGGGAAUCUUCGGCAAUGGGGGCAACCCUGACCGAGCAACGCCGCGUGAGUGAAGAAGGUUUUCGGAUCGUAAAGCUCUGUUGUAAGUCAAGAACGAGUGUGAGAGUGGAAAGUUCACACUGUGACGGUAGCUUACCAGAAAGGGACGGCUAACUACGUGCCAGCAGCCGCGGUAAUACGUAGGUCCCGAGCGUUGUCCGGAUUUAUUGGGCGUAAAGCGAGCGCAGGCGGUUUGAUAAGUCUGAAGUUAAAGGCUGUGGCUCAACCAUAGUUCGCUUUGGAAACUGUCAAACUUGAGUGCAGAAGGGGAGAGUGGAAUUCCAUGUGUAGCGGUGAAAUGCGUAGAUAUAUGGAGGAACACCGGUGGCGAAAGCGGCUCUCUGGUCUGUAACUGACGCUGAGGCUCGAAAGCGUGGGGAGCGAACAGGAUUAGAUACCCUGGUAGUCCACGCCGUAAACGAUGAGUGCUAGGUGUUGGGUCCUUUCCGGGAUUCAGUGCCGCAGCUAACGCAUUAAGCACUCCGCCUGGGAGUGACCG